GGCUCGGUGGUGUAGUUGGUUAUCACGUCAGUCUAACACACGUUAGCUCACUGAAGGUCCCGAGUUCAAACCUCGGCUGAGUCA
RNAcentral lists this transfer RNA (84 nucleotides) under Paraphaeosphaeria minitans. Its description in RNAcentral is "tRNA-Val". The record is from RNAcentral. Lineage: Eukaryota; Fungi; Ascomycota; Dothideomycetes; Pleosporales; Didymosphaeriaceae. RNAcentral also lists the same sequence under 1 other name.